AGUGAACGCUGGCGGUAGGCCUAACACAUGCAAGUCGAACGGCAGCACAGUAAGAUCUUGCUCUUACGGGUGGCGAGUGGCGGACGGGUGAGGAAUACAUCGGAAUCUACUUUUUCGUGGGGGAUAACGUAGGGAAACUUACGCUAAUACCGCAUACGACCUACGGUUGAGAGCAGGGGAUCUUCGGGCCUUGCGCGAUUGAAUGAGCCGAUGUCGGAUUAGCUAGUUGGGUGGGUAAAGGCCCAGCAAGGCGACGAUCCGUAGCUGGUCUGAGAGGAUGAUAAGCCACACUGGAACUGAGACACGGUCCAGACUCCUACGGGAGGCAGCAGUGGGGAAUAUUGGACAAUGGGCGCAAGCCUGAUCCAGCCAUACCGCGUGGGUGAAGAAGGCCUUCGGGUUGUAAAGCCCUUUUGUUGGGAAAGAAAAGCAGCAGGUUAAUACCCCGCUGUUCUGACGGUACCCAAAGAAUAAGCACCGGCUAACUUCGUG
Molecule: ribosomal RNA, 492 nt
Filed under: uncultured bacterium
Lineage: Bacteria
Description: partial 16S ribosomal RNA
Rfam family: Bacterial small subunit ribosomal RNA
Source: RNAcentral